UUUCUUCUCUAUUACACUAUAUCGUUUUAUCCUGGUAGUUUACCAUCUUGGUCAUUUCAUAUAUGCCGUUAUUCGUGAGCAUUUAUCUUGAUGUGGAUUGAGGGUUCGGGCUAGAAUUUAAUUUGAUGGCUUCUGACCUGUAACUUCUCCUGUUAUGUUUAACUUUGAAAUGAUUUCAAACAAUUUGGCUUGUGAGCUAUAAAUUAAUCGACUUUUUCGUUCUGGGUCUGAUUACUGAGCCGGGAGGGAAAAUAAAGAAAGAAUCUCAGCACCGAUUAAGCUCAUUUUUACUACUGCUUCCGUUGGUACAGCCAGAGAGGAACUCAAACAUUGUCUCCCGAUCUAUUAUUUCAAGAUGGAAUUGAACUGCUAGGACAAUUUGAAUGAUUACGUUCAUCAUUCAAAUGGUAAAAUUUCAUUGCAAAAUGCAGAGCCUAAUUCUAGAAUGCUCUACUUAAUAUUUUCCAAUAAAUGUUGUAUUUGAAAUUUAGAUUUGAUUAAAAAUAAGGAGUCACCACCACCCUCUUGUUAGAGUUUAAAUGUGAGGUGUGAGAAAGUGGUAAAAAAUUGUGGAAUAAAACUGUUGUGUGGAUAAAUGGUGCAUAAGAUAUUGUGAGGUGCUUGCUUUAGCAGUAUUAUGCUGCAAAUUUAUUGUAUUUGAUAACUUGUAUCAUUGAAUCAGUAUGUUCAAGCUAAUGCUCAUUACGAGCGAAUGUUCACUUCUCUCAUUUAAUGUGGAAUUAGGGUUUAAAAAUAGAAUGAAAUAUCUUUAGUUUUUCUAAGUGGUGUGCACACAUAUGGCACACAGCUUGUUAUUACUGGAUUCAACUAUUUGUUUUUGUGCAACUGGUGCUGAAAUUUGCGUAUUUUGUUAUGUAUAAAGGUACAGGUGAUUUGGGCGAGCGACCCAGUUUCACAACGGAGGGGAGGAG
Molecule: unclassified non-coding RNA, 932 nt
Filed under: Primulina verecunda
Lineage: Eukaryota; Viridiplantae; Streptophyta; Magnoliopsida; Lamiales; Gesneriaceae
Description: partial 166FR
Source: RNAcentral